RNAcentral lists this unclassified non-coding RNA (306 nucleotides) under plant metagenome. Its description in RNAcentral is "partial contains 5.8S ribosomal RNA, internal transcribed spacer 2, and large subunit ribosomal RNA". The stretch from base 1 to 105 matches the Rfam family "5.8S ribosomal RNA", at positions 50 to 154 of the family's 154-position model. The record is from RNAcentral.
GAAAUGCGAUAAGUAAUGUGAAUUGCAGAAUUCAGUGAAUCAUCGAAUCUUUGAACGCACAUUGCGCCCGCCAGUAUUCUGGCGGGCAUGCCUGUCCGAGCGUCAUUUCAACCAUCAAGCCCCCGGGCUUGUGUUGGGGACCUGCGGCUGCCCGCAGGCCCUGAAAACCAGUGGCGGGCUCGCUGUCACACCGAGCGUAGUAGCAAUCACCUCGCUCAGGGCGUGCCGCGGGUUCCGGCCGUUAAACAGCCUUACAAAACCCAAGGUUGACCUCGGAUCAGGUAGGAAGACCCGCUGAACUUAAGC